UACGUAGGGUGCGAGCGUUGUCCGGAAUUAUUGGGCGUAAAGGGCUCGUAGGCGGUUUGUCGCGUCGGGAGUGAAAACCAUGGGCUUAACUCAUGGCUUGCUUCCGAUACGGGCAGACUAGAGGUAUGCAGGGGAGAACGGAAUUCCUGGUGUAGCGGUGAAAUGCGCAGAUAUCAGGAGGAACACCGGUGGCGAAGGCGGCUCUCUGGGACGGUACUGACGCUGAGACGCGAAAGCGUGGGGAGCGAACAGG
Molecule: ribosomal RNA, 253 nt
Filed under: uncultured bacterium
Lineage: Bacteria
Description: partial 16S ribosomal RNA
Rfam family: Bacterial small subunit ribosomal RNA
Source: RNAcentral